AUUGAACGCUGGCGGCAUGCUUUACACAUGCAAGUCGAACGGCAGCACGGGGGCAACCCUGGUGGCGAGUGGCGAACGGGUGAGUAAUGCAUCGGAACGUAUCCUUAAGUGGGGGAUAACGCAUCGAAAGAUGCGCUAAUACCGCAUAAUCUCUGAGGAGAAAAGCAGGGGAUCGCAAGACCUUGCGCUUUUGGAGCGGCCGAUGUCUGAUUAGCAGUUGGUGAGGUAAAGGCUUACCAAGGCUUCGAUCAGUAGCUGGUCUGAGAGGACGACCAGCCACACUGGGACUGAGACACGGCCCAGACUCCUACGGGAGGCAGCAGUGGGGAAUUUUGGACAAUGGGGGCAACCCUGAUCCAGCCAUGCCGCGUGAGUGAAGAAGGCC
Molecule: ribosomal RNA, 385 nt
Filed under: uncultured bacterium
Lineage: Bacteria
Description: bacterial SSU rRNA
Rfam family: Bacterial small subunit ribosomal RNA
Source: RNAcentral